This 248-nucleotide ribosomal RNA is filed under the name uncultured Gemmatimonas sp. RNAcentral's name for it is "partial 16S ribosomal RNA". It matches the Rfam family "Bacterial small subunit ribosomal RNA", at positions 473 to 719 of the family's 1533-position model. Lineage: Bacteria; Pseudomonadati; Gemmatimonadota; Gemmatimonadia; Gemmatimonadales; Gemmatimonadaceae. The record is from RNAcentral.
CGGUAUCGAGUGAGGAAGCACCGGCUAACUUCCGUGCCAGCAGCCGCGGUAAUACGGAGGGUGCGAGCGUUGUCCGGAAUCACUCGGGCGUAAAGGGCGCGUAGGUGGUCAGGUAAGGGUGUGGUGAAAGUCCGGGGCUCAACCCCGAUCUGCCGUGCCGACUGCUUGACUGGAGCAUUGCAGAGGCAGAUGGAAUUCCGGGUGUAGCGGUGGAAUGCGUAGAGAUCCGGAAGAAGACCGGUGGCGAA